CAGUAGCCGCGGGAAUACGUAGGUGGCAAGCGUUGUCCGGAAUUAUUGGGCGUUAAGGGCUCGCAGGCGGUUUCUUAAGUCUGAUGUGAAAGCCCCCGGCUCAACCGGGGAGGGUCAUUGGAAACUGGGAGACUAGAGUGCAGAAGAGGAGAGUGGAAUUCCACGUGUAGCGGUGAAAUGCGUAGAGAUGUGGAGGAACACCAGUGGCGAAGGCGACUCUCUGGUCUGUAACUGACGCUGAGGAGCGAAAGCGUGGGGAGCGAACAGGAUUAGAUACCCCAGUAGUCCCUGUCUCUUAUAC
This 301-nucleotide ribosomal RNA is filed under the name uncultured bacterium. Its description in RNAcentral is "partial 16S ribosomal RNA". It matches the Rfam family "Bacterial small subunit ribosomal RNA", at positions 509 to 807 of the family's 1533-position model. The record is from RNAcentral.